RNAcentral lists this unclassified non-coding RNA (231 nucleotides) under Hevea brasiliensis (rubber tree). Lineage: Eukaryota; Viridiplantae; Streptophyta; Magnoliopsida; Malpighiales; Euphorbiaceae. The record is from RNAcentral.
GACAACGGCUAAUACACUGAUGCCGGGAGUUGUGGAUCUCGGCGGGGCGGAGAUUCAUCUUGAUGGUGGAGUUUACUUGAUCGGGAGACCGCUGGCGCUGCCGGCCACUGGCGGCGGAAAUUUGAAGAUACACGGCGGCUCCCUCCGCGCCUCCGAUGACUUCCCCUCCGACCGCUACCUCAUCGAACUCUGGACUGACCCGCAACCUUCUGAUGCCUCCCUCAGUGCUGC